CCUACGGGAGGCAGCAGUGAGGAAUAUUGGUCAAUGGCCGGAAGGCUGAACCAGCCAUGCCGCGUGAAGGUCAGUGCCCUAUGGGCGUUAAACUUCUUUUGUGCGGGAGCAAUAAUGGUCACGUGUGGCAAGACGAGCGUACCGUCCGAAUAAGCAUCGGCUAACUCCGUUCCAGCAGCCGCGGUAAUACGGGGGAUGCAAGCGUUAUCCGGAUUUAUUGGGUGUAAAGGGUGCGUAGGCUGGGAGGUAAGUCAGCGGUGAAAUGCCCCCGCUCAACGGGGUGAAGUGCCAUUGAUACUGCCUUGCUGGAAUGCUGAUGCCGUGGGAGGAAUGUGUGGUGUAGCGGUGAAAUGCAUAGAUAUCACACAGAACACCGAUUGCGAAGGCAUCUCACGAAUCCGCGAUUGACGCUGAUGCACGAAAGCGUGGGUAGCAAACAGGAUUAGAUACCCGGGUAGUC
This 460-nucleotide ribosomal RNA is filed under the name uncultured bacterium. RNAcentral's name for it is "partial 16S ribosomal RNA". It matches the Rfam family "Bacterial small subunit ribosomal RNA", at positions 338 to 795 of the family's 1533-position model. The record is from RNAcentral.